UCCCUAGACGCUUAGAAAUAUUGUGAAGGACUGGUUAAUGAUCAGAGAUUCAGAGACCAGUUUAGGCAUGAAUGGGGUGGAAUAUAGACACGUGUUUAGAGAAGCUAAUUUAGCCGCAGACUGGAUUGCUGGUGAGGCUAAUUCGGUUGGUAAUGGUUAUAUUUCUCUUAACCUCUGUAAUCUCCCUUGGGACCUCGACUUAAUUUGUUAGAGUGAUUUGUGGGGUUGUGCUACCCCAGUCUAGUCUAGUGUAGCAACUCCUUGUUAUGAAAAAGAUUUAAAAAAAAAAAAAACUGGUUCUCCACAUUUAUCGAGUCGGAACCAGAUCUACUACCCUGACCUGGACCAAAGCCAACCAAUUAAAAGUUUAAAACACUUAUCCCUGGAACUAAGGGCGAACAUGCCUAACCUGGCCCAUGCCGCCCCAUGAUCACCCCUACCUGAAACAUUUAUCGGCUGUCCCAUACGCUUCUAACUUUUUAUGCAGCAAAAAAUUGUGCAUUUUUUAUCUCAAAGAACUCUCACGACUGUCUCUGACGGACUCUUCUGAGAACGAAUCCUCAAAACACUCGUCAAAAGCAGAGUUUACGAUCUACCGGCUUGUCAGGGCAAAGAAAUUAUCACCGGUUGACGAUAUAAUCGAGCACCAGAACAAGUAAAACGACAUAUCGAAUAAGGAUAUGUGAUCUGAUACGUUUCUCUCUAUCGCCAAUCGGGUAUGUUUGAACGUGCCUGCAGACAGUUCGAUCAAAUGCGCGAGUUAAAAUGCACCCGCACGCUGAAAUCCUUGGUGCCUUCUCCAUAUCGACUUGCACCGAUUUCAACAAGGUCUAUAAACUUGGUUAGAUUUUCCGUGAAUUUAUCGGAUUCUCCAGAUAGUACAGUAUUAUGAUCUGGGCUUUCUGUGACAUGAGUUUAUCGGAUUCUGCGCUUUCCUUUAUUAGUAAGAUGGAAAGGGAUGAUUUGGGUAGAAUGGUAUAGAUUUUUUGCGUCCCAGAUGUCAAGCCGCGGGGCAUGUUUCUUGCGUUAGAGGCGGUUAAGUUAGUUGUGGAAUUGGAUACGAAAGGAAUGAAAAGUGAUAUAUUUGGCUUUAAUGCUUUGAUUAAAGGGUUUUUCAAUGCUGCAAAUUUAGAAGCAGCGAAGUGACUUUACUGUGAAUUGCAGAAAAUUAAUUCCGAGUAGACAGAAUUUUGAGGCACUUGUCCCUUUUCUCUGUGAGCAGGGAGAUUUUGAUCUGGCCCUUGAGCUCUGCGAAUAAAGUCUAAGUUGAUGACAUAUGAAUGCUGAUCUCCUGUAAGCAGUGGUGGAUGGGCUGGUCAAGGAGUCAAAACUAUAGGAACAAAAGAAGCUUCUGAAGCUAGGCGGUCGAAAAGUUUCCCCACUCUGGCCUACAAGUGCCUUUGUGAUGCGCAUCGAUAAUUUUCUUUGGUGCAUAUUAUGAUAUUCCCCAUCUGAUGCAUGUGCACUGAAUAAUUGGUUCAGUGUGGCCAUAUGUAAGAACAAGUGGCCGAGAAUGGAACAUCUCCCUGGAGCUUGAAGUCCUGUGUCAUAACCUUGGAGUGAGAACCCAUGAGGCUCAUUGAAAGU
Molecule: long non-coding RNA, 1587 nt
Organism: Nelumbo nucifera (sacred lotus)
Lineage: Eukaryota; Viridiplantae; Streptophyta; Magnoliopsida; Proteales; Nelumbonaceae
Source: RefSeq, a predicted model, not a curated record